AAGGAUCAUUAACACGUUCCAAACGUUUAACAAACCCCUCUGUGAACUAAAAGUCCGGCGCAAGUCGGCCCUUUUAACCAAAAAUCCUGGCUGGUGUGGCAACACAACAUCUAGGUCGCUGAAAGACUUUGCGAAAGCGAGUCCCUCUGCGUGCUGGCUUCAGGGUCACACCUUAAGCUGGCGCUGGUCUCUCGGGACCAAGCGCAGACAGCGUCAAACCCAACCAAACCCUUGAACCUAACUAUCUGAAACCUCUAACCAUGACACGCAAGUGCUCUGGUUAACAAAAACAAAAAACAACUCUUAACAACGGAUAUCUUGGUUCUC
RNAcentral lists this unclassified non-coding RNA (327 nucleotides) under uncultured fungus. Its description in RNAcentral is "partial contains 18S rRNA, ITS1, 5.8S rRNA, ITS2 and 28S rRNA". The record is from RNAcentral. Lineage: Eukaryota; Fungi.